AAUCUCGCGCAAUGGAGGGAACUCUGUCGCAGCGACGCCGCGUGAACGAUGAAGGUCUUCGUACCGUAAAGUUCUGUCCUCAGGGAUGAAGGUCACUUCUCGUGACUUGACCGUACCUGUUGAUUAAGUCCUGCCUAACUACGUGCCAGCAGCCGCGGUAAUACGUAGGGGGCAAGCGUUGUCCGGAAUUAUUGGGCGUAAAGGGUGCGUAGGCGGCCUUUUAAGGAAGAUGUGAAAGGCCACGGGUUAACUGUGGGGCUGCAUUUGAAACUAGAAGGCAUGAGUUUCGGAGAGGGUAGUGGAAUUCCCGGUGUAACGGUGGAAUGCGUAGAUAUCGGGAGGAACACCAGUGGCGAAGGCGACUACCGGGACGAGAAAUGACGCUGAUGCACGAAAGCUAGGGGAGCAAACA
This 412-nucleotide ribosomal RNA is filed under the name uncultured bacterium. Its description in RNAcentral is "partial 16S ribosomal RNA". It matches the Rfam family "Bacterial small subunit ribosomal RNA", at positions 360 to 774 of the family's 1533-position model. The record is from RNAcentral.